Molecule: ribosomal RNA, 460 nt
Filed under: uncultured bacterium
Lineage: Bacteria
Description: partial 16S ribosomal RNA
Rfam family: Bacterial small subunit ribosomal RNA
Source: RNAcentral
CCUACGGGUGGCAGCAGUGAGGAAUAUUGGUCAAUGGACGAGAGUCUGAACCAGCCAAGUAGCGUGAAGGAUGACUGCCCUAUGGGUUGUAAACUUCUUUUAUAUGGGAAUAAAACGUUCCACGUGUGGGAUUUUGUAUGUACCAUAUGAAUAAGGAUCGGCUAACGCCGUGCCAGCAGCCGCGGUAAUACGGAGGAUCCGAGCGUUAUCCGGAUUUAUUGGGUUUAAAGGGGGCGUAGGUGGAUUGUUAAGUCAGUUGUGAAAGUUUGCGGCUCAACCGUAAAAUUGCAGUUGAAACUGGCAGUCUUGAGUACAGGAGAGGUGUGCGGAAGUCGUGGUGUAGCGGUGAAAUGCUUAGAUAUCACGAAGAACUCCGAUUGCGAAGGCAGUUCACUGGACUGCAACUGACACUGAGGCUCGAAAGUGUGGGUAUCAAACAGGAUUAGAUACCCCAGUAGUC